UAGAUGGUUGGAUGGAUGGAUGGAUAUUUGGAAUCUGGAAAAAUUACCAUGUGACUGGAAAAAGGGUCUGAUUGUGAAACUCCAAAGAAAGGAAACCUUACCGAAUGUGGAAAUUGGAGGCGGAAAACACUCUAAACAGAAUAAAAACAGGAAUUGAUAAAAAGCGUGGACCAGAACAAGCGGGAUUUAGAAGGCAAAAAAGCCCAACUGAACUAAUUUUCAUCUUGAGAAACAUUAUUAAGCAGUCCGUCAAGAGGCAAACAUCUCUCGACAUAAAUGUUGUUGACUUGACUUGUUUCAUAGAGAAAGUUUUUAUGGGGAUAAUGAGGCAAUAUGGUGUACCAAGCAAACUUAUAGACAUGGUGAAGCUGCUGCUGAAGAAGAAGAAGAAGAAGAAGAAGAGUGGGCAGACCAAACACAACAUGGAGAAGGACUAUCGAGAAAGAAAGAGGCAAGAUGGAAGAACUGGAAUGAAGUCAUAAGACAUACGAAGGACACAAUGGAAGAUGAGUGUGGAGGCCUGAUGUGCCAUAAGGCACAAAAAGGAAAGAAAGCAUUCCUCCAUCCCCUGGUUACGAGCUGUGUGUCCCUUCUCCUCGUGUUCCCCUCUGGUUCUCUGGCUGCCCCCCCUUGGAUGUCAACCUCCCACCUGGACACGGACUUUUGACGCCUCGCUAUUGCCCCUGACCUCCUGCUUGUUAUCUGGACCUUCGAGCCUGUCUCGCCCCUCUUGGACUUCUGCACCUCGCUCAACACUCCCGGUAACAUACAACAUUUAAUUCCUACACGUAGUCGCACACCAUACACAUUUUGGAUUAAUCACACACCUCACUUCCCUAAUAUAUAAAUAAAUAUAGACUCCCUGCUGUCUUCUUCCCCUGUACACAUAACACUGCUAGUUUAACUAAAGAAGUUUAACAAAUUAUUAGUGACUGCAUCUGAAGGAAACAAGGUACAACAACACCUUCGAAAUAUAAAUUAGUGUGUACCUGCCAAAAAGGAGAGGACUUAAAGGGGUGCCUAGAGGAACACCUGAGUUAUGUGAAUAAAGUUUAGACCCCAGUGUUCUAUGUGUGCUGGCAGGGAUAAAAUGUCAAAACAAGGACCUGCCAAUGUGUUUACAGUGGUUCAAGUUCUUCUGUACAACAGAAGCACUCUCGUGUUUUUAGGAAUUUGCUGCACAAAUGUAUACUCUAGCCUUUAAACAGACUCCCUUUUUAGACCAGUUGAUCUGCUGUUUCUUUUCUUUUUCUCCUAUGUCCCACUCUCCCUUGUGGAGGGGGUCCGGUCCGCUGGCCAUGGAUGACGUACUGGUUGUCCAGAGUCGGGACCCAGGAUGGACCGGUCGUCCAGAGUCGGGACCCAGGAUGGACCGCUUGCCUGUGUAUCGGCUUGGGACAUCUCUGCGCUGCUGAUCCGCCUCCGCUUGGGAUGGUUUCUUGCUGGCUCCGCUGUGGACGGGACUCUCGCUGCUGUGUUGGAUCCGCUUUGGACUGGACUCUCGCAGCUGUGUUGGAUCCACUAUGGAUUGAACUUUCACAGUAUCAUGUUAGACCCGCUCGACAUCCAUUGCUUUCCUCCUCUCCAAGGUUCUCAUAGUCAUCAUUGUCACCGACGUCCCACUGGAUGUGAGUUUUCCUUGCCCUUAUGUGGGCCUACCGAGGAUGUCGUAGUGGUUUGUGUUGUGGUUUGUGCAGCCCUUUGAGACACUAAUGAUUUAGGGCUAUAAAAGUAAACAUUGAUUGAUUGAUUGAAGUUUGAUUUGAACUCGGUGAGCCAGGCUGGAUUUGGCCCCCGGGGCUGCCACUUUCAUAUUCCUGCUAUGCCAUGGGGGUCUUGAACAUGUUACUUUUUAUGCAUACUACCAAUAUUUUGCAAGUAAAGAUGUGUGCUAGCAACAAGUCAGUGUUUACAGACCAAAACACAUGCUGGGAGGCAAACAAAUCAAAUAGCAACCUGAUGAAGGCAGCAUGUCAACACUUGAAUGCUGCAGAGGUGUUUAAUAACACAUUUAUUUUCCAUUCAAGUCCAGUCUAGCAUGUCAACGGGUUGUGACAGUCAAUACUAGCUCCCGACCAAGCCCACAAAUUCAAAGGAAGGCUUUUGUGCAUGUUGGACAUGACAGCAUGAACAAAGAAACUAAGACAAUGACAAUUUUCAUAGAAAAAAGGCCAGGAAGCCUGACGUACAAGUUGGCGGUAAAAAAUAUUUCUUCAUCCUCCUGAGAAAGUGUGGCACACUUCCUGUUCAUUACAAACUUUGACAAUAGCAGAGAUACGUUGACGUUAGGAGGAAGACUUUCUUUUCGAUCAAACAUCCUCUCAUAAAAUCUUACUGUGAAACACACAGAUUACAUUCAUCAGUUUUUAAACGUGCUUUAGCACGUGAGUAAAUUCAUUCCAGGUAGAAUAUCAACAUAUAUAGAGAGGUGGGGAGGGCUGAAACAGACGCUUUUUGGCUCCAGAUGAAAAACAGGUCCAGUCAGUUGUGUUGGGACACACCUGGAGGAAUGUACCACCUUUGCUCAACUUCUUCCAGCGUGUUCCGACAAGAUCCGGCACAGAGGAGUUGUUGUCAAAGAAAGGAAAUGUUCCAGGACGGAGAGAAGAUGCUAUUACUCAGUAAUUACAAGUGGGCGAGCUAGAUGUUGAUGUGGUAUCAGUAUCGCACUGAGACUACUACUACUUUUUUUAAAUUCUUUUUUGUGUUUAUUUUCAUUAAUAGCAAUGUGUUUUUGUUGCCUUAUUCAAAUUGCUGUACUGUAAUACUGUUUAAAAGUCAGGGAAUAAAUUCAUGGGGACAAAAGACCUAAAGAUUUAAAUGAGAGUAA
Long non-coding RNA from Nerophis ophidion (straightnose pipefish), 2830 nucleotides. RefSeq lists it as uncharacterized. The transcript has 2 exons. Lineage: Eukaryota; Metazoa; Chordata; Actinopteri; Syngnathiformes; Syngnathidae. The record is from RefSeq and is a predicted model, not a curated record.